This 232-nucleotide long non-coding RNA is filed under the name Homo sapiens (human). RNAcentral describes it as "non-protein coding lnc-VPS36-2:1". The record is from RNAcentral. Lineage: Eukaryota; Metazoa; Chordata; Mammalia; Primates; Hominidae.
AGUAAACCUUCUUGGUGACCCCAGUUAUAAUCAAAAGAGGCCACGAAACUACAGACUACUGACGAAAAGUGUCAGUGCAGACACUUUCCAUCAAUCAACAGGCAGUCCAAGGGACGCAAGAGAACACAAGUCUGGGUAACAUGAAUUUGGUAAGAAAGCAGGCUAAACCUCCUGUGUCUUAGUAUUCGAAGUGAGUCAUUCUAUAGAAUUUUUGACUAAUCUGAGAAAGGCC